AUACUGUUGCGCAACAACAGAUAACGCAGGACGCGACUCGCUGUUGAGUUGCGGCGUGGGUUGGACGUUCGUGCAGUGUCUAAAACUUCGUUUUUAGUGCAGUUGUGGAGUAGUGUUGUUUGGAGAAACAAGAAUUUACACAGCUUGAGACGUCCUUUCGAAUUCCGUAGAUGAAAGAAGUGAUUAGUGACUGAAGAAAUCCUAGGACUAGCUGGGGAUCAGAAACCAGUUCUAUGGAUUUUUGGUUUAGCGCUUACGCAAUGAGCCGCCAAUCCAAACACAGAGAAUUGUUGACAAGAAACAAAUAUAAAGGCAUUUAGAAAAUAGUGCUGUGAAAAGGAGUCAGUAUUCAAUCAUAGGUCAAUUUCUCAGAAGUUUUUGGAAAGAUUGGAAUGCAUAUUCUGAAAUUAGAGGCAAGUCUCAUCCUUGUGAUUUCAUGCAUUUGUUGGCAAUGCAUAUUUAAACCUGACAGGACAUUUCGUCUCUAAGUUAUUUACUGUUGUUAGUGCAAAUAUAUCCCAUGGGUGGUUCUGUCAAGUAGACUCAAGAUUUUAUGUCUGUUAAAAUAUUAUCAUAGCCAGAAAGUUAUUAGUUCUUAUCAUAUGACUUUUGUAAUAUCCCCAGAAGCUGUAUUUUUUGAUCCUAAGCGUGUGUGUGUGUGUGUGUGUGUGUGUGUGUGUGUGUGUGUGUGU
This is a long non-coding RNA of Schistocerca gregaria, 692 nucleotides long. RefSeq lists it as uncharacterized. The record is from RefSeq and is a predicted model, not a curated record. The transcript is spliced from 3 exons. Lineage: Eukaryota; Metazoa; Arthropoda; Insecta; Orthoptera; Acrididae.